CCUACGGGUGGCAGCAGUGGGGAAUUUUCCGCAAUGGGCGAAAGCCUGACGGAGUGACGCCGCGUGGGGGACGAAGGCCUUCGGGUCGUAAACCCCUGUCAGAGGGAAAGAAGGGAGUCGGCGUGAACAGCGCCGGCUCUUGACGGUACCUUCAGAGGAAGCCCCGGCCAACUCUGUGCCAGCAGCCGCGGUAAGACAGAGGGGGCAAGCGUUGCUCGGAAUCACUGGGCGUAAAGGGCGCGUAGGCGGGAUGGCAAGUCGGUCGUGAAAUCCCUUGGCUCAACUGAGGGGAGUCGGCCGAAACUGCUGUUCUUGAGGGAUGCAGAGGAGACUGGAAUUCCCGGUGUAGCGGUGAAAUGUGUAGAGAUCGGGAGGAACACCGGUGGCGAAGGCGGGUCUCUGGGCAUCUCCUGACGCUGAGGCGCGAAAGCGUGGGGAGC
Molecule: ribosomal RNA, 440 nt
Filed under: uncultured bacterium
Lineage: Bacteria
Description: bacterial SSU rRNA
Rfam family: Bacterial small subunit ribosomal RNA
Source: RNAcentral